This 114-nucleotide ribosomal RNA is filed under the name Petromyzon marinus (sea lamprey). Lineage: Eukaryota; Metazoa; Chordata; Hyperoartia; Petromyzontiformes; Petromyzontidae. The record is from RNAcentral.
GCCAUAGCUCAGUCAGUCUGUGCUUGAUCUUGUCAGAUCACAGGAGCUAUACAGACUUGAGCCUGAUUCGUAAUUUCAUGCGAAACUGCCUUGGAAUACCAGAUGCUGUAGGCU